RNAcentral lists this long non-coding RNA (252 nucleotides) under Mytilus galloprovincialis (Mediterranean mussel). The record is from RNAcentral. Lineage: Eukaryota; Metazoa; Mollusca; Bivalvia; Mytilida; Mytilidae.
GAUUUAGAACGGGAUUAUCGGGAUAAAUUCGCUUGGAAACGGUUGAAUAUCGACGCUUCCUGAACAAUAUCUGAUUGUUGUCGUGAUUAAAUUAUUUUUUUUACAAAUUUUAAUUAAAGUUUGAAUUUCCAUCCACGAUUCAUAGGAUCUUGAUCAGACUUUUAAUAAAUUUUAAUCGGGAAUGGUCCUGUCAAGGACGGCAGUAAAAAUCGUGAAUGUGUGACCCCAGCUUAACUCCCAAUUUAAAACUAA